This 318-nucleotide ribosomal RNA is filed under the name Triticum aestivum (bread wheat). RNAcentral's name for it is "partial small subunit ribosomal RNA". Lineage: Eukaryota; Viridiplantae; Streptophyta; Magnoliopsida; Poales; Poaceae. The record is from RNAcentral.
AUGAGGGAGGCGUCGACGUCCACGACGACUACAACGACGACCACGACGCGCCGCCGCCACCGGUCCGCCAUGGAGAUGCCGGGCAGGGGUCCAGCAGGGGAGGCCGCGCCAUCAAGAAGGAGAAGGCCGCCGCCUACGACGACAAGGACGGCGGCGACGUCAGCGACUUCGCCGCGCUCAGUGACUUCUUCACCCCGUAGAAGUGAUUUUUUUUUAAUAAUAUAUAUAACGCCGAACAUGCCGAAUAUUAUGUCAAGUUUGCCGAACGUUUGGUCCAAUUUGCCGAAGUUUGCCGAAUUCAGUUUUUUUUUUAAUUAA